AGAGACAGCAGCCGCCGCGGUAAUACGUAGGUGGCAAGCGUUGUCCGGAAUUAUUGGGCGUAAAGGGCUCGCAGGCGGUUUCUUAAGUCUGAUGUGAAAGCCCCCGGCUCAACCGGGGAGGGUCAUUGGAAACUGGGAAACUUGAGUGCAGAAGAGGAGAGUGGAAUUCCACGUGUAGCGGUGAAAUGCGUAGAGAUGUGGAGGAACACCAGUGGCGAAGGCGACUCUCUGGUCUGUAACUGACGCUGAGGAGCGAAAGCGUGGGGAGCGAACAGGAUUAGAUACCCGUGUAGUCCCUGUCUCUUAUAC
This 309-nucleotide ribosomal RNA is filed under the name uncultured bacterium. RNAcentral describes it as "partial 16S ribosomal RNA". It matches the Rfam family "Bacterial small subunit ribosomal RNA", at positions 504 to 807 of the family's 1533-position model. The record is from RNAcentral.